GACGAACGCUGGCGGCGUGCUUAACACAUGCAAGUCGAACGGAAAGGCCCUGCUUGCAGGGUACUCGAGUGGCGAACGGGUGAGUAACACGUGGGUGAUCUGCCCUGCACUUCGGGAUAAGCCUGGGAAACUGGGUCUAAUACCGGAUAGGAGCCAUUUUUAGUGUGAUGGUUGGAAAGUUUUUUCGGUGUAGGAUGAGCUCGCGGCCUAUCAGCUUGUUGGUGGGGUAAUGGCCUACCGAGGCGGCGACGGGUAGCCGGCCUGAGAGGGUGGACGGCCACAUUGGGACUGAGAUACGGCCCAGACUCCUACGGGAGGCAGCAGUGGGGAAUAUUGCACAAUGGGCGCAAGCCUGAUGCAGCGACGCCGCGUGGGGGAUGACGGCCUUCGGGUUGUAAACUCCUUUCGCUAGGGACGAAGCUUUUUGUGACGGUACCUAGAUAAGAAGCACCGGCUAACUACG
RNAcentral lists this ribosomal RNA (463 nucleotides) under uncultured bacterium. RNAcentral's name for it is "partial 16S ribosomal RNA". It matches the Rfam family "Bacterial small subunit ribosomal RNA", at positions 28 to 505 of the family's 1533-position model. The record is from RNAcentral.